AAAAAAAAAAUCCCCAUGAAGUAUGUAUUCUUAUUAUCCUCAUUUUACUAGAGGGGAAACUAAAGAUCAGAGAAGUUAGGUCACUUGCCGAAGAUCACUCAGCAAACAACCGGUGAUCUGAAAUUCCUCUCAGGUCUGUGUCCUUGACAAGAGCUGUGAAUUGCCCCUGAAACUGUCUUAAAACUGCCUUGGAAUUGGAGCAUUUGUACAGCUCCUCUUGGAGUUCCUGGGGCAGAGUGGCCCAGGUCAGUCCAAGGGGGAGGGAAGUUUACACAUGUCCCAAAGCAGGAAACACCGGUUAAUCCCCAACUCCUGCUCUAGAAGACAGGGCUUUUUCUCCAGUGGCCACUAGGGUGCAGUAUGUAUCCCUAAACCUGGAGCCUGGGGGUGGGGUGGAGGAACGCUUACACUUUGCCUCAGGAAAGCUCUCUUUAUUUAAAACUCUUCAGUAGAGUUUAUAACCAAUAUUUUCAAAAUUUGUCACAUUUUCAUUUUUUUAAUAUUAUUUUCUCUCUGCUAGUUGAUAUACACAGUAUGGGCACCAGGGGAAAAAAAAAACGCACACAGUUCGGAAGGAAAUUCAAGGCAGAGAGGGAAAGCCGUUGCAAAGGCUCUGAGGUGGCAGCGCGCUAUACAACUUGAAGGAACAGCAAGGCCGUCAGGCUGUAGGGGAGUGAUUGAUGGGGGAAGUAGCAGGGCUCAGAACAGUAACAAAGGGAACCUGAUAGGGUGGGCCUUUGUAGGCCAUGGGAAGGUUUAAGGCAAAGGAGUGAAUGAUGAAGCUAGCUUUUGUUGUUACUGUUGCUGUUGUUUUUGAGACUAGUCUCGCUCUGUCCCCCAGACUGGAGUGCAAUGGUAUGAUCUCAGCUCACUGCAACCUCCGCCUCCUGGGUUCCAGCGAUUCUCCUGUGUCAGCCUCCCGAGUAGCUCAGAUUACAGGCCUGCACCACCACGCCCGGCUAGUUUUGUAUUUUUAGUAGAGGCGAGGUUUCACCAUGUUGGCCAUUCUGGUCUCAACCUCAUGACCUCAGGUAAUCCGCCUGCCUUGUCUUCCCAAAGUGCUGGGAUUACAGGUUUGAGCCACCGCACCCAGCCCCCUAGCUCAUUUUUUAAAGGGUAAUGCCAGCUGCUGUACUGAGACUAGACCACAGGGCUGAGUGGGAACAAGGGAAGAGGCUGGAAGACCAGAAGGCCCCUGCUAUAGUCUGAAAGAGGCAGCACUGGCUGGAACCAAGAUAUACCUACAUACUGGCCAGGCGGUGGAGCUCACGCCUGUAAUCCUAACAAUUUAGGAGGCGGAAGCGGGUGGAUCACCUGAGGUCAAGAGUUUGAGACCAGCCUGGCCAACAUGGCGAAACCUGGUCUCUACUAAAAAUACAAAAAUUAGCCAGGCGUGGUGGCGCAUGCCUGUAAUCCCAGCUACUUGAAAGGCUGAGGAAGGAGAAUUGCUUGAACCCAGGAGGCAGAGGUUUCAGUGAGCCGAGAUCACACCACUGGCACUCCAGCCUGCAUGACGGGAGAGAGACUCCAUAAAAAAAAAAAAUAUAUAUAUAUAUAUAUAUAUAUAUAAUAUAUAUAUCUCAUACAAACAAUAUGUAUCACAUUUAUAUGUUAUCAAGCACGAUCAUGUAAUAAACCCGCAAAUGUCCAAACCCAAAA
Molecule: long non-coding RNA, 1659 nt
Organism: Homo sapiens (human)
Lineage: Eukaryota; Metazoa; Chordata; Mammalia; Primates; Hominidae
Exons: 2
Source: RefSeq, a predicted model, not a curated record